This 1528-nucleotide long non-coding RNA is filed under the name Phaseolus vulgaris (common bean). RNAcentral describes it as "long non-coding RNA (PVUL_LNC000877)". The record is from RNAcentral. Lineage: Eukaryota; Viridiplantae; Streptophyta; Magnoliopsida; Fabales; Fabaceae.
UUAAGUCCAAAAUGACCAGGCUUGGGUUUUGGGCCUAUUCGAAUCCAUAAUAUAACCCGUGUUCCUAUGUUCGUUAGGUUUUCGUCCUUUUCACUAACGCCGCGCGCUCUCUAUGUUACAAAGCUUUUCGUCUUCUUCCACAAAAAUCCAUUUAGUUUCAAAUCUCAGUUUUCUUCUUCGUCGUGGUGGUGUGUUCGUGAAGUUGAUUCGGCGUGGAAAUGAUGGGAAUAGUAAAAGGUUUGAGCAGGAAGAACAUGUGUUGAUUUGGUUUGGCGGUGACAGUGUUUGGAGUUAGGGCAAAGUGAAGAAGGCCCCUGUCCCUUGCCGAGCAAUUGCAUUGUGACACUCGCAACUUCUUCCACAUCAAUGGUGAUUUCAGGGGUUGUAUGAAAAAGGCGUGGGUUGCAUUCUAGUAUGGAAUCGCAACUUAGACUUCUCCCCACACUCUGUUCCCUCCCUACGACUCAAUCACUGUUCCGCCACCACUGCACUUCCUGCGUUGAUUACAACCUUCUCUCUGAUCCACGCCGACUAACAUUUCUUCUUUAUUUCAUCAAUUUCUAAAUCAUCUUUAUUCAUUAUUAUUAUUCACUAACCUAACUUCUCACAAUUAUUCCUGACUAUUGGUUGUUUCUGCAGAAUUUGCUUUUCGUUUACGUAAAUACUGACGUACAUUGUGUUAUUGUCAGAACUUGACGCUGGUGGUGAAUCGCAUAUUUGAUCUAUACCAGUAGGGCACGCACAUUAGGUUAAUCGUAAAUUUCACUUGCUGUUUACUUUUUCCUUGAUUCGAUUCGGAAGAGAAAAUUCGUUUAUUCCUUAUAUAAAUGUGUCCGCUGUUGAUAAUAUAAUUUUUUUAUUUAAUAAGCCAUGUAAUAGAAAUCAAAUGGCGAUAAUUUCCUCAGAUGUCAACAAAUUAAAUUUUAGCUUCAUAUAUGGGUUUAUUUUCUGUGUCACUGUAUGAAAAACAUAGAUGUAAUUUACGAUUAACUGGAUUUUAUAAGUGGUUAAUAUUUUAAGGAAUCUUAUAUUCCUAAGAGCAGGUUCCAUGUGUAAUUGCGUUUCUGGAUUCACUUUGAAAAUUACACAAAUGUACAAAUGCCAAAAUGCGUAUGCAUUUAUGAGUUAAAGUUGUUGAUAUUGUAGGCAACAUCAAUUAAAUGGAUUAAAUUGACAUUGAGUUGAAGAGAAAGUAGGGUACAAUUGUAUUUAACAUACUAUACUAUGACGGUAUUUUCAUUUCAGUCAUCUCUUACUCUCUUCAACUCUUGGAAGAUCACUCAACUUUCUUUUUUCCUGCUCUCUUAUCCUCAUCCUAUUUCUGUUAUAAUUUCGCUUGAGCUAAAGUUUCUUGCUUAGGUGAAAAUAAAAAUUCGUCAUUAUGAUUUGUUUGCUUUUAAACACUUAUUUGUCCGAGUGAGGAAUAACGAAAAUUUUACUAAAAUUAAUAAAUAAAAACUAAUAAAAUGUAUAAAAUAAAGCACAUUGAUUUGCGUGUUUUAUCUUUGUAAGGUAACUACGAUUUGCG